Long non-coding RNA from Glossina fuscipes, 1095 nucleotides. RefSeq lists it as uncharacterized. The record is from RefSeq and is a predicted model, not a curated record. The transcript is spliced from 3 exons. Lineage: Eukaryota; Metazoa; Arthropoda; Insecta; Diptera; Glossinidae.
UUUAUUCUUUAGCUAAAUUAAUAAUUAAUAAUAAUAAUAAGUGAUGUUAACCAAUGUACACAUUUCCAAUUCAAUGUACCGUAACUUUCUUUUCCUCAUUGAAGAGGAGAACAGGGACAACCGCGACGCAUAAGCAAAGGAUCAUCACGAGUUAGGCGAGAAAGGGUUUGCGGGAUGUUUCUGACUCCGUAGCACUAUCUUAAAACAAGCAAGCAAAUUAUUUCUAAUAUUUCCAAACGACAUAUAAAGUAGAUUUAUGCAGAAACUCCGCAUUUUCAAAGCAGGUUUUUACGUCCUGCAAAAAAUUUUAUGAGUGGCGGAUGUUGCGCUUAGCCAUGACUUUGGAGUUGUUAACGUCAGGAGGUUACCGGUCUUCAGCAACCAUACCGUAAGUGUUGCACACAGCAACAAUGUUUAAUUGCUCGGUGACAGUGGAUACCCCCUACAUCCUUUCCGAAGUGCAACGGAUUUCCUAAAACACAUUGUGGAAAGAUGUAUUGGUUUGCAUAAAGAUUAUUAUUACGGAAGAGCGGAAGAGCUGGUAGAACGCAAAAAAUCUGGAAAGAGUCCCAAACGUUUGUGCAGCUCUGUACCUCAUACACGUCCGCUACGUAGUGGAAGAAGAUUGCUUGAAUACUCCGCCACUCCAAUGAUCUAUGAAGAUGAUGAUGUUGAUAUUUGUGUGGAAGCAUCUUAAUUGAGACAGUUGGGGGAGGAAGUUAGAGAAUUACAGGAAAGAAAUUUACAGCCAUCUUCAAGAGACAAAUCAUUUUUAAAGUUGUAACACGCACAAAAAUUACCCAAAAAAAUAAAUAUAUACUGACCAAUUUUUGAUUGAAAAAACUUUUUAUAUAGUGGCAAUUAAAUAUCAAUUUCUUAUAAAUCCAGUAUAUCGAUUACCUAUGGGCUACCAUACAUAAUGCAGUAGAUAGACACGCGAUUGUCAAGUCUGUGAUAGCGGGUUCGAAUAUCAGUGCGGUAGACCAUAUCUUAUAAGAAACUGUAUAACACAGUUACAUUGCCUUAUGCUCGCCUUUCCAGACGUAUGUCCGCCGUUCUUUAAUGUUUAUAAUAUUGUAUAAUGUUUAUUAUUAU